GGGGGCGAAUUUGGUUUCGACGGGGAUAUGGAAGCAAGAGUAGCGAGUCGUUGUCGCCAAGCAACGUAAAAAGUGGCAAUUAAAAAUAAACGCAAACGAAAAUUACGCUCUUGCAGCUUAAUUAAAGCUGCACGUCCUCCUCGAGUAACCCACGGCUUGAGAUAGGGCGCCAAACUAGUGGGGAACCGAGCCUAGCUUUGCUUCGGGCUAGGAACGGAACUUAUGAAGCUACUGAAACUUGAACCCUGUCAGUGGGGGUCAAGUGGAGGGAAUGUCAAAACACUGACUGCACUCGGAGAAGCUCUUGUGGAAAUAUUUUCGGACGUGGGUUCGACUCCCACCGCCUCCACCA
Molecule: transfer-messenger RNA, 352 nt
Filed under: Tissierellaceae
Lineage: Bacteria; Bacillati; Bacillota; Tissierellia; Tissierellales
Also listed under: 1 other name
Description: JAAYFT01 sp012735245 Standard tmRNA
Rfam family: transfer-messenger RNA
About the family: Bacterial tmRNA, also known as 10Sa RNA or SsrA, is named for its dual tRNA and mRNA-like properties. Its role is to liberate the mRNA from a stalled ribosome.
Source: RNAcentral